This 75-nucleotide transfer RNA is filed under the name Myrmoteras binghamii. RNAcentral describes it as "tRNA-Leu". Lineage: Eukaryota; Metazoa; Arthropoda; Insecta; Hymenoptera; Formicidae. The record is from RNAcentral.
AUUAUUUUAAUAUAGCAAAAAAGUGCAAUGAAUUUAAAAUUCAUUUAUAAAGAUUUUUAAAUUCUUUUAUUAAAA